RNAcentral lists this ribosomal RNA (253 nucleotides) under uncultured bacterium. Its description in RNAcentral is "partial 16S ribosomal RNA". It matches the Rfam family "Bacterial small subunit ribosomal RNA", at positions 524 to 776 of the family's 1533-position model. The record is from RNAcentral.
UACAGAGGGUGCGAGCGUUAAUCGGAAUUACUGGGCGUAAAGCGAGUGUAGGCGGUGUGGUAAGUCGGAUGUGAAAGCCCCGGGCUCAACCCGGGAAGUGCACUCGAUACUGCCACGCUAGAGUAUCGGAGAGGUUGGUGGAAUUCUCGGUGUAGAGGUGAAAUUCGUAGAUAUCGAGAGGAACACCGGUGGCGAAGGCGGCCAACUGGACGAAUACUGACGCUGAGACUCGAAAGCGUGGGGAGCAAACAGG